GUGAGGAAUUUUCCGCAAUGGGCGAAAGCCUGACGGAGCAAUGCCGCGUGAAGGAUGAAGGCCUAUGGGUUGUAAACUUCUUUUCUCAGAAAAGAAUUAUGACGGUUUCUGAGGAAUAAGCAUCGGCUAACUCUGUGCCAGCAGCCGCGGUAAGACAGAGGAUGCAAGCGUUAUCCGGAAUGAUUGGGCGUAAAGCGUCUGUAGGUUGUUUAAAAAGUAUUCUGUCAAAGAUUAGGGCUUAACCCUAGAUAGGCAGAAUAAACUUUUAAGCUAGAGUUUGGUAGAGGCAGAGGGAAUUCCCGGUGGAGCGGUGAAAUGCGUAGAUAUCGGGAGGAACACCAAAGGCGAAGGCACUCUGCUGGGCCAAUACUAACACUGAGAGACGAAAGCGAGGGGAGCAAAUGGGAUUAGAUACCCGGGUAGUCC
This 426-nucleotide ribosomal RNA is filed under the name uncultured bacterium. RNAcentral describes it as "partial 16S ribosomal RNA". It matches the Rfam family "Bacterial small subunit ribosomal RNA", at positions 354 to 796 of the family's 1533-position model. The record is from RNAcentral.